AAAAGAACCAUCAUUUUCUUUUAAAGUUUUUCAUUUUCUCCUCUUUUUCAGAGAGUUGAGAUAUAAAAAUAGAAAUAUAUUUAAUGGUGCAAAGUGCCUAGAGGCUUACAGCCUGCAAUUUAAUGUUUUAUUCAUAGUUUUCCUCAAUAAUUAUAGUUAUUUAUUGAUCUUCAUACAAUACUUUUCAAAAUUGCUUUGAAUUUAAAAUUAAUGACAUGAAUUUUUUUUUUCUGGAGUUUCAGGAUCAGUUUUCCAGUCAUAAAACCAGAUAUCCAUAUGCAAUUCACAGUGAGCAUUUUUUGCAGAGUGCUCAGCUAUAUGAAUUAUUUAAUACUUUCCUUCUUCUGUUUCUGUUUGCAAGGACUGUUUCCUCUCUGUAGACAAAGUAAUGCCCUUGAUUUGCUUUUCAUACAUAUUUAGUCUAACUCAGAUACUGGUUUUGUGAGCUACCUUCUGCUGAACGAUGAACAAAAUAGCUGCGAAGGUUAUAAAGCAGAAUCUCCCUUUGCAACUGAACCUGCUCUGCGAUAGUUAAUUACCACUGGAUUUUCCAUUGGACAAACCAAAUAGUGUUCUGGUGCCGGCAAUGAACCGGUGACUUCUCGUGUUUACACGGCACUGUUGCUGUCUCUGCAUCUCCCAAGUGCUCUUACGCUACGUUUUCCUUUCCAGCAGAACUCAAGCCAUUUUAGUCGACUGAAUUCUUCCUUGAAUCUACAGAAGCGUAGCUAUCUCAUUUUUGUCUAUUUCUGAUAACAGACCACAACAUACAAGUUUGAUCACUACAGUAAAUUGGCUAAUGUACAUCAAUUUGUAUCAACAUAAUCUCUGUAUACUUUUCCUGACACAAUUUAUUUCCUUCUUUGUCUUGCAAACUGGAAUCAGUCUUUCUCAUCUGCAGAUGGUGUAUUUCUGUCCAGUUUUUCUUUCUUUACAUCUUUGUAAUAUUCCUUCUGCUUGUAUUGCUUUUUUACAAGCGUUUUCCUGCUGCGUAUCGUCUUUUUAAAUAUUCUGUUAAUUCCUUCAGUCUGUCCAGUUUGAAAUAUUUCUAAAAGUUUCCUGUACUGCUGUGGCCAUGCAGUUAUUUGGGAGUUCCUGCUCACGGCUGAGCAGUAAUAUACUUUCUAGCAGACCCUCUAGUCAGAGGUACGCUUCUCUGAUCUUCGGUUACCCUUCAGAAAUACCCCAAUUCUGCAUUGGGAGCUUGUUAGUACAUGUCUGCUCUUCAGUGUAGACAACUGUUGAGAGGCACCAAAUGAAGUGUACAACCUGCAUAAAAAAUUCCUUUUCUGUGUCAGAUAUGAAUGCAUAUUUCAUUGCAAUGCAACUACCUUAGCUCAAGAACACAGUUACUUCAAUGGUAAAAGCAAAGUGAUUUUCAAAUAGAAUGAUUUCAAAAGAGUCUGUGUUUCCACUCAAAACUGGUCAAUUUAACACCAUGCUCAUGAGAUUUGUGGCUGUCUCUUCCCUGAUCUAGCCUUGUUAUGUAACUGUCAGAAAUUAUAUUUUACAACUAUUAGUUGUUAAAAUACAAAUUUCAUUUUAACAGAAUAUCUGUAUAUGUCAGAGUAACAAGGUGAUAGGAAACUAUGAGGUAUUGAAUAAUGAUACUAGAAAAGUCCAUGUAAAUUUUUUUGUCAGUCUUAGUAGUGAUGUUCUUGGGAUUGUGUUGGGUGAUACCCUGUGAAGGUCACCAAAGCUAAGGAUGCAUUUCUUUGUCAUAGGUAAGACUCCAGAUGGACAUCUUGGUUUCCUCCUAGAGCCACAAAUGGUACAUCACAGCUUGCAAAGGUCAGUAUUUUGCCUGUUUUGGGAUGAGUUCAGAAUUUGUACCUCAGCUAGAAAAUAAAACGUUUAUCAUUGGCUCAUUUCUUGGCUUUUUCUCUUGGAGGCUGCUAUUAGUGAAAACUUUCUGUAGUUGAAGUGUUUCUGUGCUUCUAUGAAACAUAUUGAACACUCUAAAAAGCAUGAAAAUAACUUGUGGCCUUAAGGAUGUGUGCAGAAAGAAGCCUGUCUGAAGGUCUGUACCGCACGCUGAUAUUUCUGGGUUUAUUUUGGGGUUUUUUUGGGGUUUUUUUGGCAGUAAAAGAUAGUUUUAAGAAAUAGUUGCUUUUCAGCAGAGAUCGUAAAUAGUAAUUAAAAUUAUUGGUUUCAAAAGCAAAUGAGUUGGAAGGAAGGGUGUCGAAUAUUGGCAACCAUUCAUAAUGUGGUAACAAGAUAACAUUGUUCAGGCUGUAAUCUUUUAUGUUCCUAAAAGCAUGGAUAGAAAUUCAACAUUAUAUUUCCUUUGGGCUUCACUAUACUCUUUGACCUUCAAGCUUCUGUCCUCUCUGCCUGUGGCAAUACACACUUGGGAAUGGAAAUGAUGUAUUGAUGACAACAGCACUCACCCUUUGUUUUUAGAUUGUUUUGCCAGUAGUAAGGAGUUUAACUUAAAGGAAUCUAUUCUCAUUGUUAGGGAUUAAAUGCUGAAAAUGACUAAUGGCAAAGCAGCAUUAGGAAGUUUAAAUACAUGUAUCAUUAGUAGUUUGCUAAAGUGCUUUUUUUUUUCAGCCACAAACUGCAGUAGCAUUAGGUCAGGUGUGCAUUUCCUCUCUUCAACUUCAUGGGAAGCUUUGUAGCCAAGUUAUGAUGUACAAGGGACUGUAAUAUUAAUAGAAAUAUGAGUGGAAUAAUAGACCCCAACUUAGCUGAGCACUGGAAUUUGAAUUAGGCUCUUUGGCAGAAGAGCUUAGAUGACUCUUGUGACCCUUCCACUGAUGCUGUGACAAGUCUGAUAUCAUACUCAACCUCAUCCUUACCCUGUACUAUGUCUCAAUUUUGCAUUUUUCCUAAGGACACAGAAAGGAAAAAUCAGAAAAUCCUUGUGUUUGCCUCAUAAUAAGAAAACCAUUUUGAUAUAUUUUGCAUGAUACAAGCUGUCAAGUAGUGUUACCAAGCAGUGAGUACACAUUCAUUUAGCUGAAAUUUCCGUAGAUUUGAAAUUAAUAGUGAAAAAUGUAGUAAUCAAAAAGUAAAAAAAAAAAAACUAGCAACUUCUUUACUUGGUAUUUAAUUCUGUUAUGAAUUACAAAACUUUAGUGUUAAUUUUAACCUUCUGCAACUAAUACUGUUAAGAAUUAAUGAAUUAUUUGUAUUUUUUUUCAAAUUAUCCUAUAUGUAAUAAAAGUUAAGGAUUUUAUAAAUGA
Molecule: long non-coding RNA, 3188 nt
Organism: Columba livia (rock pigeon)
Lineage: Eukaryota; Metazoa; Chordata; Aves; Columbiformes; Columbidae
Exons: 2
Source: RefSeq, a predicted model, not a curated record